RNAcentral lists this transfer RNA (95 nucleotides) under bacterium. RNAcentral's name for it is "tRNA-Leu". The record is from RNAcentral.
GUGCUUGCCCCACCUAAAUUGGAAAUUUAGGUGGGGCUGGAUUCAAAAUCCAGUGCCGGCAACGGCGUGUGGGUUCGAUUCCCACCUCGGGUACA